UUUGUAUAAUGGGUCAGCGACUUAUAUUCAGUGGCAAGGUUAACCAUCUAGGGGAGCCGUAGGGAAACCGAGUCUUAACUGGGCGUUCAGUCUCUGGAUAUAGACCCGAAACCAGGUGAUCUAGCCAUGGGCAGGUUGAAGGUUGAGUAACAUCAACUGGAGGACCGAACCGACUAAUGUUGAAAAAUUAGCGGAUGACUUGUGGCUAGGGGUGAAAGGCCAAUCAAACCUGGAGAUAGCUGGUUCUCCCCGAAAGCUAUUUAGGUAGCGCCUCGGACGAAUACUACUGGGGGUAGAGCACUGUUAAGGCUAGGGGGUCAUCCCGACUUACCAACCCUUUGCAAACUCCGAAUACCAGUAAGUACUAUCCGGGAGACACACGGCGGGUGCUAACGUCCGUCGUGGAGAGGGAAACAACCCAGACCGCCAGCUAAGGUCCCAAAUUACUACUAAGUGGGAAACGAUGUGGGAAGGCUCAGACAGCCAGGAUGUUGGCUUAGAAGCAGCCAUCAUUUAAAGAAAGCGUAAUAGCUCACUGGUCGAGUCGGCCUGCGCGGAAGAUGUAACGGGGCUAAGUAGUAAACCGAAGCUGCGGCAAUGUGCUUUUGCACAUUGGGUAGGGGAGCGUUCUGUAAGCGGUUGAAGGUGUGUGGUAACGCAUGCUGGACGUAUCAGAAGUGCGAAUGCUGACAUGAGUAACGAUAAAGGGGGUGAAAAACCUCCUCGCCGGAAGACCAAGGGUUCCUGUCCAACGUUAAUCGGGGCAGGGUAAGUCGACCCCUAAGGCGAGGCCGAAAGGCGUAGUCGAUGGGAAACGGGUUAAUAUUCCCGUACUUCUUACAAUUGCGAUGGGGGGACGGAGAAGGCUAGGUGGGCCUGGCGACGGUUGUCCAGGUUCAAGUGCGUAGGCUUAAGAGUUAGGUAAAUCCGGCUCUUUCUAAGGCUGAGACACGACGUCGAGCACCUACGGGUGUGAAGUCAUUGAUGCCAUGCUUCCAGGAAAAGCCUCUAAGCUUCAGAUUGUAAGGAAUCGUACCCCAAACCGACACAGGUGGUCGGGUAGAGAAUACCAAGGCGCUUGAGAGAACUCGGGUGAAGGAACUAGGCAAAAUGGUACCGUAACUUCGGGAGAAGGUACGCUCUUGAUGGUGAAGUCCCUCGCGGAUGGAGCUGACGAGAGUCGCAGAUACCAGGUGGCUGCAACUGUUUAUUAAAAACACAGCACUGUGCAAAAUCGUAAGAUGACGUAUACGGUGUGACGCCUGCCCGGUGCCGGAAGGUUAAUUGAUGGGGUUAGACUUCGGUCGAAGCUCUUGAUCGAAGCCCCGGUAAACGGCGGCCGUAACUAUAACGGUCCUAAGGUAGCGAAAUUCCUUGUCGGGUAAGUUCCGACCUGCACGAAUGGCGUAAUGAUGGCCACGCUGUCUCCACCCGAGACUCAGUGAAAUUGAAAUCGCUGUGAAGAUGCAGUGUACCCGCGGCUAGACGGAAAGACCCCGUGAACCUUUACUACAGCUUGGCACUGAACAUUGACCCUACAUGUGUAGGAUAGGUGGGAGGCUUUGAAGCAGGUACGCCAGUAUCUGUGGAGCCGUCCUUGAAAUACCACCCUUGUAGUGUU
This 1621-nucleotide ribosomal RNA is filed under the name Vibrio parahaemolyticus. Its description in RNAcentral is "partial 23S ribosomal RNA". It matches the Rfam family "Bacterial large subunit ribosomal RNA", at positions 607 to 2215 of the family's 2925-position model. Lineage: Bacteria; Pseudomonadati; Pseudomonadota; Gammaproteobacteria; Vibrionales; Vibrionaceae. The record is from RNAcentral.